UCUUGAAGCAACAGUUACAAGU
This 22-nucleotide microRNA is filed under the name Monodelphis domestica (gray short-tailed opossum). Its description in RNAcentral is "mdo-miR-7294-5p". Lineage: Eukaryota; Metazoa; Chordata; Mammalia; Didelphimorphia; Didelphidae. The record is from miRBase by way of RNAcentral.